GAUUUGCCGCACCCGCCAAAAGACAUAUUUAGCACCCCAACAAGCCUUAGAAGACCAGCUGUGAGUAUCAAAACCCUUCGAAGACCAAAAACCCUCGAAGCGUAAAAAACCCUAAGCCUUCACUCUCGUUGAAAACCCUAAGCCUUCUCUCUCUCUAUUGAAAAACCUUAACCUUUGGAAGAGUACUAUAUUCAGACUCCAGUCUACAAUUAUUCUUAACUUGUCGGUAAUGGAAUCUCAUAGAUUUGAGUGGCGGCGAAAUCAAAAGUGAGGCGGGGGACAAUUUUGGGGUGGUACAUCACAUCGUGAAACAACGACGUGUAGUUGGUGAAUAGCCAGAGCAAUUUAGGGGUUUUCAUUUUCAAGAUCCUGCUCCGAUCUCCUCCGUGAAACAGCCAGAAAAUGUGAAGGUUUUUAUUCUAAGAACAGCUCGAAUCUGAUCUGCAUCUGGUUAGGAAGAUUUAUUUUGGGGUCAAUGUAGUUCGAAUCAAAGGACCAUCCAGAUAAAGGAGUCCAUGGGUUGGAAGAAAAGGAAGCUUUAUGGAUAUGAUGGUCACUGAAGUAUCUGGAACAGAGCCUCCUUGAGAGUUAUUCAUCUAGUUGAAGGUUUCCCUUUGUGGUGUCAAGAAAAAAAAAACACACACAAUUGCAAUGCUUUCUUAAAGAGGAAAGCAUAAGCUAGGUGUUCCAGAAUGUGACAAAAAUCUCAAGGAUGAUCAGUAACCUUGGGUAGGUAGCAUGUUCUGGCAACAUCUCUUUAUGAUCAAACCACCGGUUGCAAAGGAAACAGAUUUACCAAAAAUAGAGAAAUUGUUAUGUUGAAGGAGGUGAUAUUGAAAACCAUGAAGAUUCUAUCAAUGGGCUAAUUGAAAGGUUGAACUAGAUUUUUGUAGAUUAUGGUUUCUCUUAUUAAUCAUUGUAUUAAUGUUUGGCCUAAUGUUGAAGGAAUUACACAUUCUUGUUGAAAUCUUUUGAUAUAAUUGAUAAAUUUAUAUGUAAUUUGUAAAUAAGUAGUUAAAAUAAUUAUUCAAUAUUUGGAGA
Long non-coding RNA from Vitis riparia (riverbank grape), 1041 nucleotides. RefSeq lists it as uncharacterized. NCBI's taxonomy places the organism in Eukaryota, Viridiplantae, Streptophyta, Magnoliopsida, Vitales, Vitaceae. The record is from RefSeq and is a predicted model, not a curated record. The transcript has 5 exons.